RNAcentral lists this ribosomal RNA (482 nucleotides) under uncultured bacterium. RNAcentral describes it as "partial 16S ribosomal RNA". It matches the Rfam family "Bacterial small subunit ribosomal RNA", at positions 30 to 507 of the family's 1533-position model. The record is from RNAcentral.
AUUGAACGCUGGCGGCAUGAUUUACACAUGCAAGUCGAACGGUAACAGGCCGCAAGGUGCUGACGAGUGGCGAACGGGUGAGUAAUGCAUCGGAACGUGCCCAGUCGUGGGGGAUAACUACUCGAAAGAGUAGCUAAUACCGCAUACGAUCUAUGGAUGAAAGCGGGGGACCGUAAGGCCUCGCGCGAUUGGAGCGGCCGAUGUCAGAUUAGGUAGUUGGUGGGGUAAAGGCUCGCCAAGCCAACGAUCUGUAGCUGGUCUGAGAGGACGACCAGCCACACUGGGACUGAGACACGGCCCAGACUCCUACGGGAGGCAGCAGUGGGGAAUUUUGGACAAUGGGCGCAAGCCUGAUCCAGCAAUGCCGCGUGCAGGAAGAAGGCCUUCGGGUUGUAAACUGCUUUUGUACGGAACGAAACGGCUCUGGUUAAUACCCGGGGCUAAUGACGGUACCGUAAGAAUAAGCACCGGCUAACUACGUG